GACGUAGGGCGCGAGCGUUGUCCGGAUUUAUUGGGCGUAAAGAGCUCGUAGGCGGCUUGUCGCGUCGUCCGUGAAAACCUGGGGCUCAACCCCAGGCUUGCGGUCGAUACGGGCAGGCUAGAGUUCGGUAGGGGAGACUGGAAUUCCUGGUGUAGCGGUGAAAUGCGCAGAUAUCAGGAAGAACACCCGUGGCGAAGGCGGCUCUCUGGUACGUGACUGACGCUGAGACGCGAAAGCGUGGGGAGCAAACAGG
This 253-nucleotide ribosomal RNA is filed under the name uncultured bacterium. Its description in RNAcentral is "partial 16S ribosomal RNA". It matches the Rfam family "Bacterial small subunit ribosomal RNA", at positions 524 to 776 of the family's 1533-position model. The record is from RNAcentral.